This 367-nucleotide unclassified non-coding RNA is filed under the name soil metagenome. RNAcentral describes it as "partial contains 5.8S ribosomal RNA, internal transcribed spacer 2, and large subunit ribosomal RNA". The stretch from base 1 to 120 matches the Rfam family "5.8S ribosomal RNA", at positions 35 to 154 of the family's 154-position model. The record is from RNAcentral.
GAUGAAGAACGCAGCGAAAUGCGAUACGUAGUGUGAAUUGCAGAAUCCAGUGAAUCAUCGAAUCUUUGAACGCACAUUGCGCCCGCCGGCAUCCCGGCGGGCAUGCCUGUUCGAGCGUCAUUUCAACCCUCGGGAGCCCCCCCGGGGGCUCGGCGUUGGGGACCGGCCCCGCCCCAGGGCGCGCCGCCCCCCAAAUCCAGUGGCGGUCCCGCCGCAGCCUCCCCUGCGCAGUAGCUUGCACACUCGCACCGGAGAGCGGCGCGGCCACGCCGUAAAACCCCCCGACCACGGAGCCCCGGCUCCUGAACGUUGACCUCGGAUCAGGUAGGAAUACCCGCUGAACUUAAGCAUAUCAAUAAGCGGAGGA